CCAGAAGUCUAAGCAUAUCGAGCGAUGAUUUCAUCUAAUCCGUGAUUACCUCGAAAAAAGUUAUGUCGAGGUUAAGAGAGUCGACUCCACAGACAAUGUCGCAGACCCACUGACAAAGCCAUUAGGCUAGCAGAAGAUCGAAGCCCACCUUGAGAAGAUGGGACUUAGAUAUGUAGCCAAUUGGCAUUAGGUCAAGUGAGAGUUUGUUAGAUGUGUGCCCUAGAUACC
This 228-nucleotide long non-coding RNA is filed under the name Elaeis guineensis (African oil palm). Its description in RNAcentral is "long non-coding RNA (EGUI_LNC056478)". Lineage: Eukaryota; Viridiplantae; Streptophyta; Magnoliopsida; Arecales; Arecaceae. The record is from RNAcentral.